GAUGAAGAACGCAGCGAAAUGCGAUAGGUAAUGUGAAUUGCAGAAUUCAGUGAAUCAUCGAAUCUUUGAACGCACAUUGCGCCCUUUGGUAUUCCUUAGGGCAUGCCUGUUCGAGCGUCACUACACACCUUAUCACAAUAUUUGUGGUCUUGGCAGGAGUGAAUUGCUGGUCUAUGGAAGUAUUCCAGCAGUACACAAUGCUAAAAAAUAUGGGAAGGUUACCAGAUAUGAACAACAGACUUUGUAAAUGGUUGUAGGACCUAGAUCAGUCACAAGUCACGUCUGGUCCCUUACCUUAAGGACCCCCAUCCUAGAUGAACUAUGGGUUGACCUCGGAUCAGGUAGGAAUACCCGCUGAACUUAAGCAUAUCAAUAAGCGGAGGA
Molecule: unclassified non-coding RNA, 384 nt
Filed under: soil metagenome
Description: partial contains 5.8S ribosomal RNA, internal transcribed spacer 2, and large subunit ribosomal RNA
Rfam family: 5.8S ribosomal RNA (bases 1-120)
Source: RNAcentral